AGAGUGAACGCUGGCGGUAGGCCUAACACAUGCAAGUUGAACGGCAGCACAGUGGUAGCAAUACCAUGGGUGGCGAGUGGCGGACGGGUGAGGAAUACAUCGGAAUCUACCUUUUCGUGGGGGAUAACGUAGGGAAACUUACGCUAAUACCGCAUACGCCCUUCGGGGGAAAGCCGGGGAGUCGCAAGACCUGGCGCGGAUAGAUGAGCCGAUGUCGGAUUAGCUAGUUGGUGAGGUAAAUGGCUACACCAAGGCGACGA
Molecule: ribosomal RNA, 260 nt
Filed under: uncultured soil bacterium
Lineage: Bacteria
Description: partial 16S ribosomal RNA
Rfam family: Bacterial small subunit ribosomal RNA
Source: RNAcentral